CAGUAGCCGCGGGAAAACGGAGGGGGCUAGCGUUGUUCGGAAUUACUGGGCGUAAAGCGCACGUAGGCGGCUUGGUAAGUUAGAGGUGAAAGCCCGGAGCUCAACUCCGGAAUUGCCUUUAAGACUGCCGAGCUAGCAGGUGAGAGAGGUAAGUGGAAUUCCGAGUGUAGAGGUGAAAUUCGUAGAUAUUCGGAAGAACACCAGUGGCGAAGGCGGCUUACUGGCUCAUACUGGACGCUGAGGUGCGAAAGCGUGGGGAGCAAACAGGAUUAGAUACCCCAGUAGUCCCUGUCUCUUAUAA
RNAcentral lists this ribosomal RNA (301 nucleotides) under uncultured bacterium. RNAcentral describes it as "partial 16S ribosomal RNA". It matches the Rfam family "Bacterial small subunit ribosomal RNA", at positions 509 to 809 of the family's 1533-position model. The record is from RNAcentral.